Molecule: ribosomal RNA, 401 nt
Filed under: Pseudomonas aeruginosa
Lineage: Bacteria; Pseudomonadati; Pseudomonadota; Gammaproteobacteria; Pseudomonadales; Pseudomonadaceae
Description: bacterial SSU rRNA
Rfam family: Bacterial small subunit ribosomal RNA
Source: RNAcentral
GGCGGACGGGUGAGUAAUGCCUAGGAAUCUGCCUGGUAGUGGGGGAUAACGUCCGGAAACGGGCGCUAAUACCGCAUACGUCCUGAGGGAGAAAGUGGGGGAUCUUCGGACCUCACGCUAUCAGAUGAGCCUAGGUCGGAUUAGCUAGUUGGUGGGGUAAAGGCCUACCAAGGCGACGAUCCGUAACUGGUCUGAGAGGAUGAUCAGUCACACUGGAACUGAGACACGGUCCAGACUCCUACGGGAGGCAGCAGUGGGGAAUAUUGGACAAUGGGCGAAAGCCUGAUCCAGCCAUGCCGCGUGUGUGAAGAAGGUCUUCGGAUUGUAAAGCACUUUAAGUUGGGAGGAAGGGCAGUAAGUUAAUACCUUGCUGUUUGACGUACCAACAGAAUAAGCACCGG